This 262-nucleotide ribosomal RNA is filed under the name uncultured bacterium. RNAcentral describes it as "partial 16S ribosomal RNA". It matches the Rfam family "Bacterial small subunit ribosomal RNA", at positions 524 to 776 of the family's 1533-position model. The record is from RNAcentral.
UACGGGGGGGGGCAAGCGUUGUUCGGAAUUACUGGGGCGUAAAGGGCUCGUAGGCGGCCAACUAAGUCGGAUGUGAAAAUCCCCCAAGCUUAACUUGGGGAACUGCAUCCGAUACUGGAUGGCUUGAAUCCGGGAGAGGGGAUGCAGAAUUCCCAGGUGUAGCGGUGAAAUGCGUAGAUAUCAGGAGGAACACCAAUUGCGAAGGGCAGCUCGCUGGGGACGUUACUGACGCUGAGACGCGAAAGCGUGGGGAGCAAACAGG